Non-coding RNA from Hordeum vulgare subsp. vulgare (domesticated barley), 124 nucleotides. Lineage: Eukaryota; Viridiplantae; Streptophyta; Magnoliopsida; Poales; Poaceae. The record is from Rfam.
AACAUACUACCUCCGUCCGAAAAUACUUGUCUUAAAGAUGAAUGUAUCUAGACUUAUUUUAAUUAUAGAUACACCCAUUGUAUGUAUUAUUAGGAUAAAUAUUUCCGGACGGAGGAAGUAGUAA